GGAAGCCCCAGCCUUUGUCCCGCCCCAUUCAGCGGCUCCAGGGCAUCAUCACACCAAGUGCAAACCCUCCUGAGGAGUGAGGUCCCAGGGCUCUGUGCACAAAGUGGGCAAACUCCCCAAAGCUGGAUGGUGACUCCAUCACUUCCCUGGACAGCCUGUUCUUCAGUGCUUGAUAACCAUUCUGGGGAAGAAAUUCUUCCUGGUAUCCAGCUUAAACCUUUCCUGGUGCAACUUGAGGCUGUUUCCUUGUCCUAUCACUUGUUACCUAGGAGAAGAGACCAACCCCCACCUGGCUACAUCCUUCUGGCUGGACUUAGAAGCAGACCUUUAAACUAGAUUUGACAGACAGCUACAGCAGUUCUGUUAUUUGCUUUUUCUCCACAUAUGAGAUUCGGAUUGAAUGCAAUGACUUUACAGAGAUGUGACAGACAUCCCUGCUGCUCUUCAGCCUUUCUGAUAAAUCUGAAAGCAAUAUAUCCUGCAUGAUACAUGAUUCUGUUGAAAAAUGCUUAGUCUCCAAAUGUCUGCCCUACUAGUUUUUGGAAUGACCCUGAGUAACAACGGGCUAAAUUCAUCAAUAGUGAAAUUUCACAGAUUAUGAAGAAGAGGGUUUGUCUGUACUGCACAUGAGCGAGAGGCUCACACAGAGCUGCUGGAAACCAACUGGCUGUGGCAUCAGAGGGGUUGGAGCUUCUUGGUGGUGAGGGCUGUGUGAAGUACCAGGCUCUCACAGUUACAUGCCCCUGGAAUUUGCACUUAAUAAAGCUAUUUUGGAUGUAUAGU
Long non-coding RNA from Vidua chalybeata, 783 nucleotides. RefSeq lists it as uncharacterized. Lineage: Eukaryota; Metazoa; Chordata; Aves; Passeriformes; Viduidae. The record is from RefSeq and is a predicted model, not a curated record. The transcript is spliced from 4 exons.